This 1596-nucleotide long non-coding RNA is filed under the name Sorghum bicolor (sorghum). RNAcentral describes it as "long non-coding RNA (SBIC_LNC010737)". Lineage: Eukaryota; Viridiplantae; Streptophyta; Magnoliopsida; Poales; Poaceae. The record is from RNAcentral.
GUGGAGAGCCUUGGGUGGCCGCCCCUGUCAGGGUGGAGUGCUUGCCCUCGCCCUAUGACAGAUGGGUCCCACCUUUCAGGUGGUGGCUCCUAGAGUCUUCUAGAGUCUUCCUGAGUUGACGUUUCGGUCUUCUCUCUAUGUAAAUUUCUAACAUGUGGACCUACUUUUGUUUUUAUUCUAGUAACCCCCUACAGAAAUAGACAAUCACCAAAACUCAUGGAAUUUUGUUAGUGAUAACCCUAUUUCUUCUUAGUGCUUGCAAAUAGGUCCUUUUUCAUAUUAAGUUGACAGUUAAAAUUAGGAGUUAUCUACCGUCAACGAACUCCCCCACACUUAUCUUUUACUCAUCCUCAAGGAAAAAGGAUAGAUUAUCAUAACCUCAAACCAAGACAUUACCAGAUUCAUUCCAAGUCCUGUACUGCAGGAUUCAAAGUGUCUACCAUAAAACUUUGAGAGGUUGAGGAUGGAACAGUACAAAAUAGAGUUCUCUUUUCCUUUAGCCAUGUCUAUAAUAUUUUUGCAAAUAAAAACUUAGCUUACCCUUCUCCAUCAUGUAGCACACUCGAAUCACUCAUUAUAGGUAGUCUUUGUGGAACUCACCAAAGCAUAUAUCAUAUAUAUCCUACAUUCCUACUCUAUACAGGCUUAUAUGGAGUUAAAGGUAGUUCAAGGAAAUAGCAUACUUACCUUGCAUAUCUUGCUAAGUCAAAACUCAGAUCCAUGGAGGGGAAUAGCAUACUCGUAGAUCAAGAGUGCAUUUGUGUGGAAUAUAUAGUGGCUAAUCCUAAUUCUACAUUGCUCUUUUGAAAAUGUCUUUCUUUCUCUUUCAAAAAAUGGUCUUUGCACAGGAUGGUAUGGGCUAUCUUUUAUUCUUCUUUCUUUCUAGGACACUUGUCCUUUUUUCUUCUUUCUUUUCUUUUUGAAUACUUUUAUUUUGAAUAGCCUCAUACCUCCUUCUAUAACUAGAAAAUAUUGAGAAAGACUUUUUAAAGAACUUAGAGCAAUUAUUCCUACUAAGACUCUUUUUGUGUUUUCUCCUAGCAUAGGAGUAAAACAUUUUUAUGGAUGGAAAGGCAUGUUUGUGCGUAUUCCUAGUGUAGGAAUGGCAGGUAUAUGUGGGUGUACAUGAUCUUGAUCUUAGGAGCAUGAUAAUCCUCUCGACAUAGGUCAAUAAGGUUUGACAAAACUCAAUACAAAGCAAGUAGCCUAUGAGCUAGUUUAUAUCUAUCUUGCAUGGCUCUAGUAGGACAUUAAUUCUUGCUACAGAAGAGAAGUAUAGCUAAUCAUUUUAAGAUUUUUGACAAGUAAAAUUCUCCAAAUGACUAGACAACAGAAAUCAAGAUCUCAUAUUCAUACUAUCUCUCUUUCCACGACAACUUAAGUAAUAUGGGGUCCCUAUAUCAAGGUUCCCAACAGUAACAGGAAUUUCUAGGAAUUAUCAUGGUAUUAGUCUAUCUUGUGGUCAUGAAUAAAACAUCUUUUAAUUAUUUAUGCAUAGGGUGAUUUAACUAAAGAUAUUUUAUUUUGAAUCAAAACAGCAGCAAAAAUAACAAUUUAUAACUUAGAUAAAUCAUACCUGAUCAUGGUUCGAAGCGG